Danio rerio (zebrafish) is the source of this 792-nucleotide non-coding RNA. Lineage: Eukaryota; Metazoa; Chordata; Actinopteri; Cypriniformes; Danionidae. The record is from RefSeq and is a predicted model, not a curated record.
AGACGUGUUUUGAUUUGUGUGUGUGCCUACAAAUUGUGUGUAGUCUACAAAUGGUUGGUGGUUUAAACAAUUAUCAAAACAUAAAAAAAAGUAAAAUAAAAAAACAUUUGUUUUUUCUAUUUUCAUAUCUCACUGUUAGCUACUCUUUCAAUAAAUAACAGUAUGCGAAUGAUAAUUACAAUGAUUGUUAAUAACAGGGAGGGAAACCCCUGUGUUUGAAUUACAUUUGGCUCAAAAACUGUUUAAUAAAGUUUAAUAAAGGCUUUAUCUCUCAAGUAACCAUUUAUGGGAAAAUACCGGAUAUAUAUCGUAUACCGUCAUUCCUUCUAAAAAUACAGAGAUACACUGUAAAAAAUCCAACUUGCAAAUUGCUAACUCAAAUCAAAAUUGUAAGUUGGGUGGACAUAUUUUGAGCCCAGUGUUGAGUUUACUUUUAAAAAUGAGUUAACUGAAGGUUUAAAACUGGUUUGUUCAAUGAAGUUGAGCAGACUUUACAUUUUGAGUUCUUCACUGGAUCAUCUACUUCCCGUCUUUGCACAUGCUCAGUCUGUCUUCGGGUGCCAUUUUGCACGAGGUGUCCUCUCACCAGCAGCAGCUGCCAUCUCCUGAUUCAGGUUUGGAAUGCAGUGUAAGUUUUGCAAAUUUGUAAACAGUAGCUGAGAAGUUACACUACAGACUACAUCGCUAUCAAGGACCAUCCUGGCAGCAGCCUUGUUUGUUCGCAGACUGCUUCUGCACUUUAAAGACUCUGAUGUCCGAAAACAGUGGCCUGCAUGUUUUUGGGAGUUUAGG